Molecule: ribosomal RNA, 254 nt
Filed under: uncultured bacterium
Lineage: Bacteria
Description: partial 16S ribosomal RNA
Rfam family: Bacterial small subunit ribosomal RNA
Source: RNAcentral
GACGAACCGUGCGAACGUUAUUCGGAAUCACUGGGCUUAAAGCGCGUGUAGGCGGGCGGGGACGUCGGUGCCUGAAAGCCCCCGGCUCAACCGGGGAAGUGGGGCCGAAACGCCCCGCCUGGAGGGACGUAGGGGGACCUGGAACUUCCGGUGGAGCGGUGAAAUGCGUUGAGAUCGGAAGGAACGCCCGUGGCGAAAGCGAGGUCCUGGACGUCUGCUGACGCUGAGACGCGAAAGCGUGGGGAGCGAACAGG